This 466-nucleotide ribosomal RNA is filed under the name uncultured bacterium. RNAcentral describes it as "partial 16S ribosomal RNA". It matches the Rfam family "Bacterial small subunit ribosomal RNA", at positions 28 to 507 of the family's 1533-position model. The record is from RNAcentral.
GACGAACGCUGGCGGCGCGCCUAACACAUGCAAGUCGAACGAGCGAGAGAGAGCUUGCUUUCUUGAGCGGGUGGCGAACGGGUGAGUAACGCGUGAGGAACCUGCCUCAAAGAGGGGGACAACAGUUGGAAACGACUGCUAAUACCGCAUAAGCCCACGGUGCCGCAUGGCACAGAGGGAAAAGGAGCAAUCCGCUUUGAGAUGGCCUCGCGUCCGAUUAGCUAGUUGGUGAGGUAACGGCCCACCAAGGCGACGAUCGGUAGCCGGACUGAGAGGUUGAACGGCCACAUUGGGACUGAGACACGGCCCAGACUCCUACGGGAGGCAGCAGUGGGGAAUAUUGCACAAUGGGGGAAACCCUGAUGCAGCGACGCCGCGUGGAGGAAGAAGGUCUUCGGAUUGUAAACUCCUGUUGUUGGGGAAGAUAAUGACGGUACCCAACAAGGAAGUGACGGCUAACUACGUG